GAGUCUCCGCAAACUUGCUCUGAAUUCGCUGCAGGAACUUUGUGGCUGCUUUGCUUGGGCUGUUCUGGAAAACUGCGCUUGUUCUCUGAGCCCGGCCUUUUCAUGCUUCACAAAUAAACAGAGGAUAAACUCGAGAGGAAAUGUGGAGCUGGGGAGAGUGGUUGCAGUUCCUGUGGUCAGGAGAGAACGUUCCUGUUUUGUCUUUGGCUCAGUGACCCAGGCAACAGAAGGGGGACUCUCAUAAACCACAAAGGAAAAUAAAUAACCUCACCCAUGGAGGGAAAGAGACAGCUUGAGAAAAGGGACUUUGGAAAAAGGCUCUCUCUAGAUAGCAGUCUCAUGG
Molecule: long non-coding RNA, 343 nt
Filed under: Sus scrofa (pig)
Lineage: Eukaryota; Metazoa; Chordata; Mammalia; Artiodactyla; Suidae
Description: lncRNA (ENSSSCG00000041827.2)
Source: RNAcentral